GACUCUCGGCAACGGAUAUCUCGGCUCUCGCAUCGAUGAAGAACGUAGCGAAAUGCGAUACUUGGUGUGAAUUGCAGAAUCCCGUGAACCAUCGAGUCUUUGAACGCAAGUUGCGCCCGAAGCCGUCAGGCCGAGGGCACGUCUGCCUGGGCGUCA
Molecule: ribosomal RNA, 156 nt
Filed under: Cephalanthus occidentalis
Lineage: Eukaryota; Viridiplantae; Streptophyta; Magnoliopsida; Gentianales; Rubiaceae
Also listed under: 2 other names
Description: 5.8S ribosomal RNA
Rfam family: 5.8S ribosomal RNA
About the family: 5.8S ribosomal RNA (5.8S rRNA) is a component of the large subunit of the eukaryotic ribosome.
Source: RNAcentral